RNAcentral lists this transfer RNA (73 nucleotides) under Alphaproteobacteria bacterium 40-19. RNAcentral describes it as "tRNA-Lys". It matches the Rfam family "tRNA". Rfam says of the family: Transfer RNA (tRNA) molecules are approximately 80 nucleotides in length. Their secondary structure includes four short double-helical elements and three loops (D, anti-codon, and T loops). Further hydrogen bonds mediate the characteristic L-shaped molecular structure. tRNAs have two regions of fundamental functional importance: the anti-codon, which is responsible for specific mRNA codon recognition, and the 3' end, to which the tRNAs corresponding amino acid is attached (by aminoacyl-tRNA synthetases). tRNAs cope with the degeneracy of the genetic code in two manners: having more than one tRNA (with a specific anti-codon) for a particular amino acid; and 'wobble' base-pairing, i.e. permitting non-standard base-pairing at the 3rd anti-codon position. Lineage: Bacteria; Pseudomonadati; Pseudomonadota; Alphaproteobacteria. The record is from RNAcentral.
GGGCCCUUAGCUCAGUUGGUAGAGCAUCUGCCUUUUAAGCAGGUGGUCGCAGGUUCGAAUCCUGCAGGGCCCG